Molecule: ribosomal RNA, 468 nt
Filed under: uncultured bacterium
Lineage: Bacteria
Description: partial 16S ribosomal RNA
Rfam family: Bacterial small subunit ribosomal RNA
Source: RNAcentral
GACGAACGCUGGCGGCGUGCUUAACACAUGCAAGUCGAACGGAAAGGCCCUGCUUUUGUGGGGUGCUCGAGUGGCGAACGGGUGAGUAACACGUGAGUAACCUGCCCUUGACUUUGGGAUAACUUCAGGAAACUGGGGUUAAUACCGGAUAGGAGCUCCUGCUGCAUGGUGGGGGUUGGAAAGUUUCGGCGGUUGGGGAUGGACUCGCGGCUUAUCAGCUUGUUGGUGGGGUAGUGGCUUACCAAGGCUUUGACGGGUAGCCGGCCUGAGAGGGUGACCGGCCACAUUGGGACUGAGAUACGGCCCAGACUCCUACGGGAGGCAGCAGUGGGGAAUAUUGCACAAUGGGCGGAAGCCUGAUGCAGCAACGCCGCGUGCGGGAUGACGGCCUUCGGGUUGUAAACCGCUUUCGCCUGUGACGAAGCGCGAGUGACGGUAAUGGGUAAAGAAGCACCGGCUAACUACGUG